AAGGAACUCUGUUUCAAAGGCUACUUCCAGGGUGGUUACACACCUUUCUGCAACAGGAAUGAUGGCUUAAGGAGAGCCUGUUUUCCAACUCUUACUUCCAUGAUGAAUGGCCCAACUGCUCAGCAAAUUGAGAUCCAUUGGAGUGGCCCAGCACGUCAGGACCAGAUUCUACUGGCAUCAGACCUGCCUGUAUGUCUAUUAUCACAUGCAGCCUUGCACUUCACAUGGAUAUCCACUGAGUUGCUAGAUGAAUCUUCACUGCACCGUCCCAGCAGAUGAACCCAGCCUAAACUUCUACUACUGCACCUGCACAGCUGCCUUGCCACCACUGCUUGUUUGUCAAGGGCUCCUCAAUGUCUGUGUAAUACGUAGAAUAUGGAAGAAAAUUAACAUACCAGUGUAUCAUGAAGCGGCCACAUCACACCAGGGUUUGGGAUUUUUGUGGGGGAGUUGUUUUGUGCUUUUCUUGUAUUGUACCUAACAGAAAUGGAGCUGGACUUUCCAGGGUAUUGUGGCAAUACAAGCUAUAAAUAAUAAUUACAAUAAUAAUCUCCAAUUUCAACAAAGCUUCUGGGCUAGCACAUAAAAACUGAAAUACUAGACUGCCAGAUUUUAAAGACAAAUGUUUUG
Molecule: long non-coding RNA, 630 nt
Filed under: Parus major (Great Tit)
Lineage: Eukaryota; Metazoa; Chordata; Aves; Passeriformes; Paridae
Description: lncRNA (ENSPMJG00000014867.1)
Source: RNAcentral